GACUGUCUCACCUUCUUCCACGAGCAACGGACUCUCGCUACUACCGCCGUCCGAUCUAGUAUAAAACACACGGAAAGGAAGAUAAAUCUUUGUAAAAACAAUGCAGUCAUAACAGCCCUAGUUAGGAGAUCAUAAGAGUAAAAUGGAGGAUGAAUAUAUAAUCGUGAAUAUACGUAUUGCGUUAAACUC
Pogonomyrmex barbatus (red harvester ant) is the source of this 189-nucleotide long non-coding RNA. The record is from RefSeq and is a predicted model, not a curated record. Lineage: Eukaryota; Metazoa; Arthropoda; Insecta; Hymenoptera; Formicidae.